Molecule: ribosomal RNA, 548 nt
Filed under: Noblella sp. GF-San_Martin-Phy1
Lineage: Eukaryota; Metazoa; Chordata; Amphibia; Anura; Craugastoridae
Description: Nobella sp. GF-San_Martin-Phy1 partial 16S ribosomal RNA
Rfam family: Bacterial large subunit ribosomal RNA
Source: RNAcentral
GCGCCUGUUUAUCAAAAACAUCGCCUCUUGCACAAAAUAAGAGGUCCAGCCUGCCCAGUGAAUAUUCAACGGCCGCGGUAUACUAACCGUGCGAAGGUAGCAUAAUCACUUGUUUUUUAAAUGAAGACUAGUAUGAACGGCAUCACGAAAAUUAAGCUGUCUCUUUUAUCUAAUCAGUGAAACUAAUCUCCCCGUGAAGAAGCGGGGAUAAUCUAUAAGACGAGAAGACCCUGUGGAGCUUUAAACCUAUAGCACAAGCCCGUCCCUUCCACCCUCCAGAGCACCUUACAGGCAUAUAUGACUAAAAGUUUUCAAUUGGGGCGAUUUUGGAGAAUAACCCACCCUCCAAGCUGAAUCCUAACACUAAACAUAAACCUACAACUUAACGUAUCAAUAAAUUGACACUCAUUGACCCAGUAACCUGAUCAACGAACCAAGUUACCCCAGGGAUAACAGCGCAAUCUUCUUUGAGAGUUCAUAUCGACAAGCAGGUUUACGACCUCGAUGUUGGAUCAGGGUCCCUGGGAUUGCAGCCGCCCCUAACGGUU